This is a long non-coding RNA of Scleropages formosus (Asian bonytongue), 295 nucleotides long. RefSeq lists it as uncharacterized. The record is from RefSeq and is a predicted model, not a curated record. NCBI's taxonomy places the organism in Eukaryota, Metazoa, Chordata, Actinopteri, Osteoglossiformes, Osteoglossidae. The transcript is spliced from 4 exons.
CAAGGACCACAACAACAGCAGCAGCAGCAACAACAACACCACCACCACUACCACCACCAACAAGUUUAUGGACAACACCAUCUACACCUACUGGAAAUCCUUUCAUUAGAAAACUGGUACAAGGGCUGCUGGCAGUAGCAGGUGUUGUGGUGGUUAUUACAAUAAUAGUGGUUUCAUUUUCCAUUUAUAAGAAGAAACGGAGGACCGCAACUACGAGGACACAAAAUGAUGACCUAAAUACCAGUGAAGAAAAUGCAAAGACGUCCAGGAGAACAGAAGAUGAAUCAGAUUGCAC